GCCCAGCCCUCUCCCGGGGGUUGGGGAAGCGUCUGCCGCAGGCAACGUCUGAAGGUGGUCUGUGGGCCCCUUGCAGCUCCACCGGUUUGAGCUGCAUUUUCUCCCCACCUGCGGCUGGAUUCCUGGCUUGCUGUCUCACCAGCUCAUGGACAGCCUCCGACCGACUCCCUUGGUGAUCCCGGCACAGCACCGACAGGACAGCUCGCCACAGAAAAUGCGGCUCCAGCCCCGCUCAGCACCCCUGGCCCAGCCCAGGGCGAGCAGAGCCGCGCCCUGCAUACAGCAGGCACAUCCUCUCCCUUUGCCUGCAGCUCUGGGAAGACGCAACCUCUGCUGCCCCGCACAGCCCGGACUCCUGCUGGCUCUGACCUCAUUCCCCCACUCCCUGGCUGAUGCCAAAGCCGCUGGCCAAGGACAAACAGCACAGGUUUAGGAGAAAGCAAGCUUAAGGCCACCCGGAGAGCCUCCGCAGCCCCAGACCCACUGUUCCUCCGAAGCAAGCAAAGGGGUGACGCAGAGCAGCCGGGCCAGGCGGAUCCAGGACCAGCUUCUUCCGGCCAGGAGCAGGACACACACCAAUCCCAUGGCACUGGGCUUUGGAAGGCUUCUGGCACUGACAGUGAUGAUUUGGCUCCACACAGGACAGACAGACACGCACAUGCUGCUGCCUCCAGCCCACACCUGCCAGUCGUGUGGCCUCUGAAAUCAGAACGAGUCUGUCCACGAGGGCAUCAUACACUGGUUCAUAGGAGCUCCAUUUUUCUUUCUUCAAAAAAGGCAUGUUAAAUCCACAUAUGAAGUGUGUUCAUGGAAUCACCUCCAGGUGAACCACGGGCACAGAAUCCUCAUCAAUGAAAACUGCUCAGCAUUAACCUUCAGAAGCUGAUGACACUGUUCUACUUUAAGCAGGAAAGAGGAAAGUUUUAAAACAAGAGAAAUGACAGAUAUUUCCUAAGCUUGAAUAUAAAUAAUAAACAUAAGUCUGAAAAAGACAGGAUUCUUACCUCACUGGGAUGGAAAAAGGCUUGAAUGGAAUCCGAAGUAUAAAAGGGAAAAGAACCCAGGAGAAGCUUCCUCCACGCCUGUUGAGAGCACUUCUUUCUCUCAAGUGAAUGGAUCCUGCUUUUUGCGGACAUAGGUGCCUGCAAUCGCCAGCGCCUCUCAGAACAUCAAGACUGCACUGGGGAGAACCCACAGAAACGGACAGGACUGCUGGCCAGGUGGCUUCCCUCACAGGCGCCCCAGAGCCAGGUGAGGACACCUCCAGGGAAUGUGCGCCUCUACACACGGGACUAGCCUGGGCUGCACCUUCUGCUCUGCCCUGGAGGUGGAGGAGGUGGGCUAUUUAGUGGGAAAUACGUUCUAGAGGAAAGAUGGAAAAAGGUGUCCAAAUACGCAGUUAAAAUCCAGUUAAACAUUUAAAAUUUAUUAAACUUUUUGGUCAAAAUAGUUGAACAAAUAUAUACAAUCCCAUUUUACUAGAAUUGUCUUAAGGACCAGGGUUGACUAAUGCUUAAAUAACUCUGUUCCACACCUCAGACUUUGUAAAUUGUGUCACAAUCAAGAUACAGUAUAUAAAUUAUUUUUUAGUUAAAAUAAAGGUACUUUUAGAUUCUCAAUUUCUAACUUAAUGUGAACUCAAGUUGCACUGUGUUAGCAUUAAUUCAGGGUAAUGACGGACAGCCUGUUCUUGUGCAUGUGGAUUAGUAAUCAGCACACACUUUCAUCUCCACAGGGGGAUGGGGGAUCAGCACACACUUUCAUCUCCACAGGGGAGGGGGAUCAGCACACACUUUCAUCUCCACAGUGGGACGGGGGAUCAGCACACACUUUCAUCUCCACAGGGGGAUGGGGGAUCAGCACACACUUUCAUCUCCACAGGGGGAUGGGGAAUCAGCACACACUUUCAUCUCCACAGGGGGAUGGGGGAUCAGCACACACUUUCAUCUCCAGAGGGGGAUGAGGGAUCAGCACACACUUUCAUCUCCACAGAGGGAUGGGGGAUCAGCACACACUUUCAUCUCCACAGGGGGACUGGGGAUCAGCACACCCCUUCAUCUCCACAGGGGGACGGGGGAUCAGCACACCCCUUCAUCUCCACAGGGAGACAGGGGAUCAGCAUGCACCUUCAUCUAGACAGGGGCAUGAGGAAUCAGCAUGCACCUUCAUCUAGACAGGGGGAUGAGAUAGGGGGGGAUCAGCACACACCUCCAUCUCCACAGGGGCACAGACAAUCAGCAAGCACAGACCUUCAUCUAGACAGGGGGACGGGGGAUCAGCACACACCUCCAUCUCCACAGCAGCACGAGGAAUCAACACACACCUUCAUCUCCAUAGGGGGACAGGGGAUCAGCACACACCUCCAUCUCCACAGGAGCACAAGUAAUCAGCACACACCUUCACCUCCACAGGGGAAUGGGAGCCCGACUCCUCACUCCCCUUGGGGACAUGUAGUGGGCGUGUGUUAAAUCCCACGGAAGCAAGCUCUGCUCACUCGGCAUUGGCACAGCUCUGUAUUAUCUGUCUUGGAAAAUUUUGAUUUCUGGUAUCAAAGAUCUUACUUU
Long non-coding RNA from Nomascus leucogenys (northern white-cheeked gibbon), 2564 nucleotides. RefSeq lists it as uncharacterized. The transcript is spliced from 2 exons. The record is from RefSeq and is a predicted model, not a curated record. Lineage: Eukaryota; Metazoa; Chordata; Mammalia; Primates; Hylobatidae.